CGAGAAAGGGCUUCGGCCCCGGUACAGUGGCGCACGGGUGAGUAACACGUAGGUAACCUGCCCUUGAGUGGUGGAUAACAUCCCGAAAGGGGUGCUAAUACAGCAUGAGACCACGGUUUCGAGAGAAACAGAGGUUAAAGCGGGCCUCUUCAUGCAAAGCUCGCGCUCGAGGAUGGGCCUGCGGCGCAUCAGCUAGUUGGUAGGGUAAUGGCCUACCAAGGCGAAGACGCGUAGCUGGUCUGAGAGGAUGAUCAGCCGCACUGGAACUGAGACACGGUCCAGACUCCUACGGGAGGCAGCAGUGGGGAAUUUUGCGCAAUGGACGAAAGUCUGACGCAGCGACGCCGCGUGGGUGAUGAAGGCCUUCGGGUUGUAAAGCCCUGUGGGGAGGGAAGAAUAAGGUAUGGUUAAUACCCAUAUUGAUGACGGUACCUCCUUAGCAAGCACCGGCUAACUCUGUGCCAGCAGCCGCGGUAAGACAGAGGGUGCAAACGUUGUUCGGAAUUACUGGGCGUAAAGGGCGUGUAGGCGGCCACGCGGGUCGGAUGUGAAAGCCCUGGGCUUAACCUAGGAAGUGCAUUCGAAACUGCGCGGCUAGAGUCCCGGAGAGGAUGGUGGAAUUCUCGGUGUAGAGGUGAAAUUCGUAGAUAUCGAGAGGAACACCGGUGGCGAAGGCGGCCAUCUGGACGGGUACUGACGCUGAGACGCGAAAGCGUGGGUAGCAAACAGGAUUAGAUACCCUGGUAGUCCACGCCGUAAACGAUGGGUGC
RNAcentral lists this ribosomal RNA (770 nucleotides) under bacterium enrichment culture clone BD15. RNAcentral describes it as "bacterial SSU rRNA". It matches the Rfam family "Bacterial small subunit ribosomal RNA", at positions 67 to 816 of the family's 1533-position model. The record is from RNAcentral.